RNAcentral lists this long non-coding RNA (922 nucleotides) under Fukomys damarensis (Damara mole-rat). RNAcentral's name for it is "lncRNA (ENSFDAG00000024767.1)". The record is from RNAcentral. Lineage: Eukaryota; Metazoa; Chordata; Mammalia; Rodentia; Bathyergidae.
UCGUACCUCUUGUCCAGCUGUUUCUUGUUGCAUAGGUCAGAGUGGAUCCUUCCCUAAAUAAACCUUUCGCUAGGGAGGACGUAAGCGACCCCAGGGAAUAUUUUCAGAACACCACCAAGAAAGUGACAGAUCUCCACUCCUGGGGUGCCGCCAGGGCAGUUCUUAGAGAUUUAUUGCUCCCCGUGCUUCUCUUAAGAGGGAAAGAAGAGAAACGAUCCAUCAAUCCAUACCUGAUGAACUUUGUUCCUUGAAGCUACAAACCAAGAGAAAGGAGAAAAAGAAAGUAAUAAAUUCAAACAAAACGGAGGAAAGGACUGAUAAACUUAAUCAGAAGCACCUGGGAGGAAAUGGCUUUCUGCAGUGUGGGGCUGUGUGGGACCGGGUGGAGGAGGGGACGAGGCCUGCAGGGCAGGUUUGUCAUCGUACACCCGGGGCCGCACACUUGUUGCCCCAGUCGGACUCCAGACAUGUUUGGGGAGGUGCAGAGCGAGCAAACCAGGGGCUUGUUCAUCCCAGCAGACCCAGCAUCCGCGGAUCUGUGGAAGGAAGCACAAAACGGGGAGCAGAGCGCGGCCACGGCCUCACCACCGGUAGGGCGCUCCUCUCUCCUCUGCCUUUGUGAUUCUCAGUCAAAUUUCUUUCCACGUUCCACCCCGAGGGAGAGGAAGGGGCUCAUCCUCUGUUCUGCUCAACUCCAUGUGCUCUGCAGUGACUGUUUUCAGUGGAGAAGGAAGGCUCCCAGUGCUUGGCGGAGGAGCCAACAGAAGGCCGCCGUGGAGAGGCUGUGGCUGGCCCUGUGUUUCCCCACAGGAGGAGGGCUGGCUCCCACUUCCCCGAUGGGGCUCCCUAUGGACCAGGCUGAGCGGUGAGGCCUCCCUCGUGAGACACAGGCCAGCGACGGCCUCCUGGUGCCUUCUCCCGG